UGCCUUGUAUUAAUUAAUACUCAUUGCAGA
This 30-nucleotide non-coding RNA is filed under the name Mus musculus (house mouse). The record is from RNAcentral. Lineage: Eukaryota; Metazoa; Chordata; Mammalia; Rodentia; Muridae.